This 491-nucleotide ribosomal RNA is filed under the name uncultured bacterium. Its description in RNAcentral is "partial 16S ribosomal RNA". It matches the Rfam family "Bacterial small subunit ribosomal RNA", at positions 28 to 507 of the family's 1533-position model. The record is from RNAcentral.
GAUGAACGCUGGCUACAGGCUUAACACAUGCAAGUCGAGGGGAAACGCCGUGGAAGCUUGCUUCCCCGGGCGUCGACCGGCGCACGUGUGAGGAACGCGUAUCCAACCUGCCUCUGACUGAGGGUUAACCCGUCGAAGGUCGGCCUAAUACCUCAUGGCAUCUUCUUCGGGCAUCUAACGACGAUUAAAGAGUUCAUCGGUCAGGGACGGGGUUGCGUCUGAUUAGCUUGUUGGUGGGGUAACGGCUCACCAAGGAUACGAUCAGUAGGGGUUCUGAGAGGAAGGGCCCCGAGAGUGGAACUGAGAACAGGGCCAAAGUGCUACGGGAGGCAGCAGUGCGGGAUAUUGGUGAGUGGGAGGGAGCCUGAACGAGCCAAGUAGCGUGCAGGAUGACGGCCCUAUGGGUUGUAAACUGCUUGUAGGCGGGGAUAAAGUGAGGGAAGUGUGCUUCAUUGACGGUAACGCAUGAAUAAGGACCGGCUAAUUACGUG